This 396-nucleotide ribosomal RNA is filed under the name uncultured soil bacterium. RNAcentral's name for it is "bacterial SSU rRNA". It matches the Rfam family "Bacterial small subunit ribosomal RNA", at positions 26 to 423 of the family's 1533-position model. The record is from RNAcentral.
AGGACGAACGCUGGCGGCGUGCUUAACACAUGCAAGUCGAACGGUAAGGCCCCUUCGGGGGUACACGAGUGGCGAACGGGUGAGUAACACGUGGGUAAUCUGCCCUGCACUUCGGGAUAAGCCUGGGAAACUGGGUCUAAUACCGGAUAUGAACUCCUGCCGCAUGGGUGGGGGUUGGUAAAGUUUUUCGGUGCAGGAUGAGCCCGCGGCCUAUCAGCUAGUUGGUGAGGUAAAGGCUCACCAAGGCGACGAUCUGUAGCUGGUUUGAGAGGACGACCAGCCACACUGGACUGAGACACGGCCCAGACUCGACGGGAGCAGCAGGUGGGUAAUUAGGACAAGUGGGGAAACCCUGAUCCGAGCCACUCCCGCGUGUCGCGAGUAGAACGGUCCGUU